GGUUUUAACCCUUUUACCAAGGUAAUUUGGAGUUCCGACCUUUCGAAAGAAAGUGUUAAACAACUGUAACUUUUGGAACCGCUCUUCCGGGGUAUCCGGUUGGGCAAA
RNAcentral lists this small RNA (108 nucleotides) under Caenorhabditis brenneri. Its description in RNAcentral is "snRNA CBN33771". It matches the Rfam family "SL2 RNA". From Rfam's summary of the family: This family represents SL2 RNA. SL2 RNA is involved in trans splicing in lower eukaryotes. Lineage: Eukaryota; Metazoa; Nematoda; Chromadorea; Rhabditida; Rhabditidae. The record is from Rfam by way of RNAcentral.